This 14258-nucleotide long non-coding RNA is filed under the name Populus trichocarpa (black cottonwood). RNAcentral's name for it is "long non-coding RNA (PTRI_LNC002665)". The record is from RNAcentral. Lineage: Eukaryota; Viridiplantae; Streptophyta; Magnoliopsida; Malpighiales; Salicaceae.
UCUUGCGGAAAGGCAUUCACUAUCGUUAGCAAAUCUAAUGGAACUUCAUAUUAGCAAUUUUUCGGACAGCACAGCUUCAGCGACUAGCGAUUUCAGAAAUUGUCACCUCAUUUACAGAGCACAGUCCAUCUUCAACGUCUAAUGCUAUAUCAGGAAAUUUAUCAGAUUUUCUUAAGAGGAAUGCAGGUUGGGAGUUUUAGCAGGGGCUACGUCUAGUGCUGAAGAGCUUGAUCUGUUGUGAUGUACAACAUAUUUGUUUUCAUUACAAAUCUAAUGGAACUUCAUCUUAGCAAUCAUUCAGACAGUACAGCUUCAGCGACAGGCAAUUUCAGUAAUUGUCACCUCAUUUAGAGAACACUGUCCAUCUUCUACGUCUAAUGCUAUAUCAGGAUUAUUGUCAGAUUUUCUAAAGAGGAAUGCAGGUUGUUUUGGAGAAGGAAUCUCUGUUUCGUUACUCAACAUAAAACAACAGCCAACAUAGAUGGUCUGUCCGUGGCAUCUUCUUGCACGCACAGUAGACCAAUUUGUAUGCAUUUCAAGGCUUCACGCGGAUGAUACAACUCCUUCAGUGAUGGAUCAACUAUCUCCAAUGCUUUGUCUUCUCUCCAUAAUUCCCACACCUGUGUUGUUCAUAUAAAUCAUUAGCAUACAAGAAAUGAGAGCAGGCAACAUCUAAAAUUGUGAACAUUGAAACUCAGCCAAGAGCACAAAAGGCUAUCUUAUAACUCACAUAUCCAAUCAAGGUCAAAGGAGGAUUCUGUUGAUAAAAUCUAUUGUUCUUCUUGCCACUAACAAUCUCUAGCAACAUGACCCCAAAACUGAAAACAUCUGAUUUUGCGGAAAAGUUUCCAAACACAGCAUAUUCUGGCGACAUAUAUCCACUGCAUCAGAAAAACAAUAGUAGUUUUAGUAUUCCUGGUAAUCAAGGAUAGUACUUUGUCACUCGGUCUUUGUUUUAGGCAAAGGUACUUACUAUGUUCCCACAACUCUCCUUGUCCUAUCUUCAGUUUGGUUGCCUUCAAAUAUUUUUGCCAUUCCAAAAUCUGAUAUUUUUGGGUUCAUCUCUGCAUCCAAUAGAAUGUUGCUGCAUUUUAAAUCCCUGUGAAUGAUUCUCAACCUGGAGUCUUGGUGAAGAUAUAAAAUCCCACGAGCUAUUCCAACAAUAAUAUCAAAGCGUUUUCGCCAAUCCAAUAACAAUCUUCUUGUUUCAUCUGUUGAAACAAUUAUUUUUCAGACAACUAGUGUAAAUCAGGGCAAUAAAAACAUAAAGAGACUUACGGAAAAGAAACGAGUCCAAGCUUUUGUUCGGCAAGUAUUCAUAGAUUAAGAUUUGUUCUCCAUCCUGAGUGCAAUAACCUAGAAGUUUCACCAGAUUCCUGUGUUGAAGCAUUGCAAUUACCAUAACUUCAUUUUUAAAUUCUUCUGUUCCUUGUCUUGAACUUCUAGAUAACCUUUUUAUUGCAACCUCCAGCCCAUUAGCUAGCAGACCCUAAAAUCAUGUUACAAGAUUAAGCCUCUGGACUAAUAUUAUGCAAAUUAGAGAGGCCAUUUAGUUUUUAGCUAAAUGCAAGAAACUCAACCUUAUAAACAGAGCCAAAACCACCUUGCCCGAGUUUGUUAGCUGGAGAGAAAUUGUUUGUGGCCGCCGUUAUGGUGCUGAGCUUGAAAUAUUUCAAUUCAGUAGAAGUGCUGUUUACCUGCAGUUCAGAACCUUUUUUGGCUCUCUUCUUGAACCACAAAUAAGCAAACACGCUAAUGAGAAACCACAAUAAUGCAAUUGAUGGUGCUAAAACGGCCUGCAUCGUUUUUUCACGAGAAUCAUUUGACUUCCUUUUAGUAUCAGCUGCAUGAGAAUGAUAUCAUUUUCUUCCACUGAAACAUUUGGAGACCACACAGGAAGCUUUUGGUCAUCGUUACCAUAGAGAACGAGGUUACCAUAUUGGUCUACAAAGAGAAAUCCUGAGGAACCAAUGGUUGGAUCGUUCCUGUUUGCAACCCACACCACAGUUGUUCUGGUACUUUAUGGUACCGAAUUCCAAGAUAUCUAUUGCUAGAACUACCUGGACUGAAAAAUCCUAGUGCAAAAUUAUUUCCUUUGGAGAUAAGAACGUCACCUUCUUUAAUGGUUUGGUUCGUCUUUAAGGAGUCUAGGGAUGUACAAGAUAAGAAAUGGAGCAUUAAAAGAGAAAAAAGCAGGAACAGUUUUUCAGCUUCCAUGAUGGAGUAAAGUGGAUCUUGGCUUUUGGAAAGUGUCAAAUUUUGCUUUGUGGAGAAUGGAUAUGGCCUUCAGAGUUAUUAAACCCGGCCCGGGAGUUGACCCGGCCAAGUGGCCGGGUCCCGGGUUUCAUGGGUCAACCCGGGUCAACUCGGGUCAACCCGGAUUAACCCGGAAAAAUUAAAAAAAAAUUAAAGUUUUAAUAUUUCAUAUGAAAAAAUUCAUGUAAAUAUAGAUUAUACAUAUUAUAAAGUUUAAAAGAAUAUUUUAAAAAGUUUUUUAUCCUACAUUAAAAAGAUAUUAUGUUAAGCUUUUAAGUUAAAGUAUUUAAACUAAAAAAGUUUUUUAUCCCACAUUUAAAAAACAUAACUUUUUUCUUGGAAACAUAGAGUAUAUAUACUAAUGAGUUUCAAAUCCCACAUUGAAAAGAUAAUAUAUUAUCCUUUUAAGUGGAAGUAUUUAAACCAAAAGGUUUUUUAUCCCACAUUGAAAAAACAUGAUUUUUUUCUUGGGAACAUAGAGUAUAUAUACUAAUGGGUUUCAAAUCCCACGUUGAAAAAACAUGGUUUUUUUCAUGGGAACAUAGAGUAUAUAUAUAAAAGGCCUUCAAAUCCCACAUUGAAAAGAUACCAUGUUAUCCUUUUAAGUUGAAGUAUUUAAACAAAAGGUUUUUUAUCCCACAUUGAAAAAACAUGGUUUUUUUCAUGGGAACAUAGUGUAUAAAUAUGAAAGGGUUUCAAAUCCCACAUUGAAAAGAUACUAUGUUAUGCUUUUAAGUUGAAGUAUUUAAACCAAAAGGUUUUUUAUCCCACAUUGAAAAAACAUGGUUUUUUUCAUGGAAACAUAGAGUAUAUAUACUAAUGGGUUUCAAAUCUCACAUUUGAAAAAAAAAAAAAACAAAAAACAAAAAAAAUCGGGUCUCGUCCGGGUUCGCCCGGGUCACCCGGGUUCCGGGUCGACCCGCCGGGUCGCCCGGGUUUGGCCGGGCUGUUGCCACAGCCGGUCUUUUAUUAAACCCGGACCGGUCCAGCCACCGGGCCGGGCCGGGUUUAAUAACUGUGCUUCAGACAAGUCUCCAGAGAAGUUGCGUGACGGAAUUAGGCGUCUCUUUAAUGAGUUACUCUUUUCAACCUUCAAAGUCUAGACAAUGACUUGUUUUUGUUAAAGUAUCAAUCCAGGAUUUUUGGAAACGACACCGUCCUCUAGUUUUAGAAAUAUGUAGGUGAUUGCAUACGCAUAUAAAAACAACAUAAAAAAGACAAUAAACACAAAGAAAGAUGGAAUUGCGUCGAAAAAGACAAAAUCAUUCAAACUUUUAUUACUCAAAAAUUUUCUAAUUAAAUUUAAAUAUUAAAGCUCUUCUAAAUUAUUAUAUACUAGGAAAAACACCCUGAACAAAGCUUAAAAAUUAAUAAAAUAUUUCUAAAGUAAAUAAAAAAAUAAUCUAAAUUAACUUGAAAAAUAUGAUAUUUUCAAAAUAGUAAUUUCUAGUACUGGUUUGGAGGCCUUAACUUCAUAAAUAAGACCUUUAGGAAUAUUGCCUCUAGAAUCAAAAUUUAUGUCCAUUAUCAUAAGGUCAUGCGUUGGAUGAAAAUCUUCUACAUCAGUCUCUUUAUGUUGAAAAUAACUUGUUUUCAAGUUCAAAUUAUUCUUGUUUUGAUAUCGUGAAUGCUUAAUCAAAGCUCUCAACCUCUUUUCCUUUCUUUUCUUAAGGUAUAUAACAAUACUAGAUAUUGGCUUUAGUUCUUUAUCAACAUAUGUUGUAUCUAUAUAAUCCUUGAACAAUUCUAUCUUUGUGAUAAUAGUAAACUUGUAAUCAAAAGGAUCAACAUAAUCUAAAUCAAUAAUUUAAUUUUAUUGGUCAUCUUCGGUAUUCUAUUUACACUUAAUUUCUACCUUAUCAAUAUGAACACCAUUGAUGACAUUAUUGCUCCUUUGCUGUCAUUGUUUAUGUUAUUAUUAUUAUCAUAAGUGUGGCUAGGUGAUCACACACAUAUAUAAAAGUUUAGUUUUCUUUGUUAUUUUUUUCACUUGGAUCGUUUUUGUUUUUGAGUUUUUUAGAUCUUGAUUAUGGUUCUUGAGAAAUAAUUAGAGUUGUCAGUGUUACGCAAAAAAAUAUGGAAGGAUUUGAUCUUCCAUGUGUUUGGUCUGAUAAAUCCAAGCUAUGUGGUUUUUACUUUGUUGAUUCAGCUUUCUAACUUCUUCUUCUUCUUUUUUAUGUUUCAUGUGUUAUGUUGUUGAUUCCUCUUUUUGCUGGAUGAUCUUAUGAGGUUUUUGAAUACUGUAAGGAUCUCUUGCUUUCUCAAUUUACUGUAUUUUGCUGCACUCUACAUCUAUAUUGAGUUUGAGCAUAGCCAGUGUUGUUAUCUAUUUUGGAACCUCACAUAAACAUAAAAAAAAUAAAAAAAAUAAAAAAAUAUACAUCAGUAGGAAGAACAUGAAGAAUGUCCAGAAAAUUGCCAACUAGUUGGGAAGAAUCAAAAUACCCAAAGUUGAAAAAUUGAUAGUUCAAUUUUGACUCAUGAAGGCCCUAUUAACAAGAAAAAUUCAAUUUGGAAAGAAAAAUUCAAAAUUAGAUGUUUAAUAACUCAAUUGAAAUUUUUCAAGGUUUAAUUGUAUUUAUUGAGGGAUUGAUUGCAAGGAAAAUUGGUUUUUAAGUUCAAUUUGAACUUUAAUGGGAAGAAAUUGAAGUCUGGGGGUUGAAUUGUAAUUUUAAAAGGCUAAUUUAGUUAGCUAAAAACAUGGCAUUGUAUUAUUAAUAUGAUGCGGUGGAUGGAGUGAUGGUGCACCCUUCCGAUGGUGAAGCCUGAAAACAUUUUAAUAUGAUGCAUCCUUAGUUUUCAAUGGAAUCAAGGAACAUGCAUCUAGGGUUAUGUACAGACGGAUUCAAUCCAUUUGGAUCAUUUGUUGCUCUUUAUUCUUGUUGGCCAAUAAUACUCACAGUUUACAAAUUAUCAUUGGGCAUGUGUAUGAGGUCGGAGUUCAUGUUUUUAUCAACGGUCAUACCAAGUCAUAAUAGUCUGAGUUAGAAUAUAGAUGUUUGUCUUUGGUGGUGAUUCAUAAGGAUUUCAGGCCUCCGUACAUGUCAGAGGCCAUGUGGGCGGAAUAUAUUCAGCAUGUGAUGUUUGAUCGUUACGUGCGACAAUCAUACUCCGGUUCAGAGAACCAGAACUAGAAAGUUCAUGGUUUUGUUAUCACACACACCAGCAGCUCCAUUCGAUUCGUUUCGCAUGCAAAACGAAUGGUUAGAUUAGUCUCUCUAACACUACAACCCAGUUCUUGCGAAUAGCCCGUAAUUUUUCAAACCAUUAGAUAUUUGUAAUCAGUUUCGAGCACUCAUACUCUAGAGUUCGAGAUGAUUUUAGACCAGCGAAUUAAAGAUUAGACGACCCAUCUUGUUGCUGAUUAUGAAUGACUACUUAGUGUUGAGAUAACCAAACUUCACCAAUUCGUAUUGGAGAUGAGAUCACAUAUGAGUGGUACUUGUGCUCCCUCUUAUUCGCCCCACAGUUUAGGCAAAGAUCUGCCUUCUCCUCCUCCUCCAGCACUUCUAUUCUAGAUGAAUUGUAUUUGAACUUAUAAAUGUUUAAAUUUGUAAUAAAUAUUUGAUUUUAUAUUAGUUUAAUUUUUUAAAUACUUUUUGUUUCUGCUUAAUAGAUUUUUUUUAAAUAUAUUUUUGAAUUAUUAAUGACAGGGUUACAAACGGACAUAGUUUGUCGGUAUAUUUUAAAAAGUUGAAAAAUAAUUACUGCAAAUAUCACUGUCAUUGUUUACUGACCGACAAAAUAACAUACAAUAUGUUUGACAAUUACAAGUUAAAUUUACCGAUGGACAUACUGACAGUUGAAAAAAAUCAUCAAUGCAAUGACAUGUGGUUUUUCUGUUAGUGAUAUGUUAUAUUCAAUGUUGGAAAUACUGAUGAAAUGAAGCAGGUAAAGUUUUUUUUUUUGCAUGCUUUGUACAUUAUUAAAUGUAUCUGUAAAAUUAUUACCGAUAGAUCACAAAUCAUUAAUGAGAGUUUUUUCGAUGGAAGAUUUUUGUCUGUGAUCAUGUCGUUAAGGACAUGAAGCAAAGAGUGAACUUCUUCCUAAUAAACACGUGACUUGGGACGGCAUAACAAAUAGAGAUUAGAGAGUCUUGUCGUACCUUAUUUUGCCCUCUUCUUGAGCCACAAAUAAGCAGUUAACAUUUGAUGCAAUUGAUGGUACUAAAAUGGCCAGCAUCGUUUUUUCAAGAGAAACAUUUGACUUCCUUGUAUUAUUAGCUGCAUGAGAGUGAAAAGAAUAAAGAUUCAACUCCAGAGGAAAAACAACAAUACAGAUCUUAUUAACAUUUGACUUUCUCCAAUGGAAACAUGACAAUACAAUUGCAAAGGCUGGCCCCUUCGGCACCUAACAAGUAUCAAUAUCAAUGGUUUCUUUCAUGAAGUACAGAGCUUAUUAACUACAUCCUAGAGCAGUGGCAAACAUUGAAAAGCUUUUAUAAAACAAUAUUUGAAAUGAAAAUUCUAAGAAAUUGGUACUGAGCAGAAAAAGGGCACCUAAUUCAUAUGCAUCAACACGAACAUAUAGAUCAUAAAUUUCACUCCUUUCAUAUCUGAUGUCUACUAAUUCCUUGUACCAUGUCAAACUGUUGAUAAUAGGUAUAUAAAGAACUGAAUGUUGAUGAUAACCAGAAAAACAAAGAACAAAGAACUUGCAACAAAUUAAGAACAAAGAGCAGAAUGUUUUUCAUAUUGGUUACUGCCAUCCCUUAGCUUUUAUUUAUAGAUGAAAUCAAUCACAACACAAUUAAGAAACAUAAUUAACAUAAACUUCUUCAUUUAUGGAGCUAUGUAACUUAUCCUAAAUAAGUUUCAUAUCUAAAGGUAAAAACUCACUAAACAACAUUAAGAUAAUGAUGUUACUAAUAGAUAAACAUUAAUGAAAGAUAACAUAUGGCUGAGACAUUAAUUUCAGCUUUGGUGCCAUAACUUCAACACUCCUCCUUGGUUCCAAAGCUGCACAUUCCUAUCAUCUCCCUUAGAUCUUCAAAUCUAUCUUUAGCUAAAAGCUUGGUGAACAGGUCUGCUAAUUGCUCUUUUGAAGUGCAGUAUAUCAUCUCUAGUUCCCCUUCAUGCUGGAAUUGCCUGAUAGCAUGGAACUUGAUCUUCAUAUGCUUGGUCCUGUCAUGAAAAACAGAAUUCUUUGAAAUAGCUAUUGCUAAUGUAUUGUCACAGAACAAUUCUGUGGGACUUCGUUGAUCAAAGUCUAGAUCAUUCAGCAUUUUCCUUAGCCAUAACAAUUGCUUUGUUGCCACAUAUGCUGCUAUGUAUUCUGUCUAUUCAGUAGAAUGUGCAACCACUGAUUGCUUCUUUGAGUUCCAACAGAAAAUGCUUCCUCCAAUAGCAAAGCAAUAACCUGAGGUGCUCAUCAUUUCUUCAUCACUUCCAGCCCAAUCACUAUCAGAAAAACCAACAAGUUUAACAGAACUUGAUUUCACAAAAUGCAUGCCAAACUCUAAGGUCCCUUUCAGAUAUCUCAGAACUCUCUUGGCAGCAACAAAAUGGAUUUGACUUGGACUUUGCAUGAACCUAGAGAGGUAAUUGAUAGCAAAAACAAUGUCUGGACGUGCAGUAGUUAAAUACAACAAGCUGCCAACUAAACUUCUGUAGGCUUUUCCAUCAGUUUUGGGAGCUCCAUCCUCCUUCAUUAACUUUUGUCCCAGUACCAUAGGUGUACUGACUGGUUUGCAAUUUUCCAUUGCAAAUUUGUUUAGUAGCUUCGUUGUAAACCUCUUUUGACAUAGGAAAUAACCUUGCUCCGACUGAGUUACUUCCAUGCCUAAGAAGUAUGACAGCAAACCAAGUUCAUUCAUCUCAAACUUAUCCUUCAUGUUGGUUUUAAACUCCUCUACCAGCUGCUCCUUGUCUCCUGCAAUCAAUAAAUCAUCUACAUACACUGAUACGAUCAGAGUAUGUUUGUCAACAUUUUUCACAUACAAAGUUACUUCAUUCAUGCUUCUUUCAAAGCCUAAACUCAAAAGAUACCCAUCCAAUCUGCUGUACCAGGCUUUAGGAGCCUGUUUAAGUCCAUACAAAGCCUUCUUUAGCAAAUAUACUUUGUUUGAUGUGAUCUCCUUUUCAAAGCCAUCAGUUUGUUCAACAUAUAUUUCUUCAUUUAGAACACCAUUCAGAAAUGCAGACUUAACAUCCAACUGAAAAAUAUGCCAACCAUUUUGUGCUGCUAGAGCAAGCAAGAGUUUUAUUGUAUCAAGCCUAAAUACUGGAGCAAAUGUCUCAGUGAAGUCAAUACCUGGCUCUUGUGAAUAACCCUUCACUACAAGUCUUGCUUUGUGCUUGUUGAUACUCCCAUCUGCAUUCAGUUUGGUUUUGAAAAUCCAUUUCACACUAAUUACCUUCUUGUGAACGGGUCUGUCAACCAACAUCCAUGUUUCAUUCUUUUCUAUCAUCAUGAGCUCCUCCUUCAUUGCAGCUAUCCAUACUUGUGAGUUAAUAGCUUCUUCAAAAUCUAUUGGUUCUGCUUCAGCAACAUUGCACCUGCUGUAAAUCUCAGCUAAGGACCUUGUCUCCCUUACUGGUUUGUCAUUGACAGUAUCAUCAUCCUCUAUAGCAUCCAAUUUAAUUUGAUACUCUUGUUUUGUCUCUUCAAUUGAUGCAGCUUCCCAGUUCCAUGUACCAUUCUCUACAACUUUUACAUCUCUAGCAAUCACAACUUUAUUAGAUUUCAUAUCAUAGAUUUUAUAAGCCUUAGAUUUUGUGCUAUAGCCUAUAAGAAUUCCCAUAUCAGCCUUUUGAUCAAGUUUUCUUCUCUUUACUUCAGGUUGCAAGACAUAGCAAGGGCUGCCAAAAACUUUUAAAUGAUCAACAUUGGGUUUAAAGCCAUACCAUAUUUCAUAAGGAGUCUUAUCUCCUAACACUCUUGUGGUCAUAUGAUUUAGAAGGUAAGAUGUUGUGUUUACUGCUUCUGCCUAGAAUUUUAAUGGCAUUUUCUUCUCAUAUAGCAAACAUCUUGCCAUUUCCAUCAAUGUUCGGUUUCUCCUCUCACUGACUCCAUUCUGUUGUGGAGUGUAGGGAACUGUCAAUUGGUGUUUGAUCCCUUCUUUUGCCAAGUAUGCCUCAAAUUGUCGAGAGGUAUACUCUCCUCCAUUGUCAGAUCUCCAUAUCUUCAAUCUAUUUCUUGUUUCUACUUCAACUGCUGCUUUGAACUUAACAAACUCAGCAAACACAUCAGAUUUUGAUUUCAGAAAGUAAACCCAGCAGUACCUACUAUAAUCAUCAACAAAUAGAAGAAAAUACUUUGAACCAUUCAAUGAUUCAUUAUGCAUCGGCCCACACACAUCUGUGUGUACAAGGUGGAGUUUUGACAGUGCUCUAUAUGCAUUGUCAGGAAAAACAACUCUAGUUUGUUUUCCUAACUAACAGGCUUCAUAAAUACUCUUUUGUUCCUGUAUAUCUGGUAAACUGUGAGUCAUCUACAGGUCAGCCAUUCUCUUUAAAGUUGCAUAAUUGAAGUGCCCCAACCGUUUGUGCCAAAGAACAGAUUCAUUGUUCUCAUAAGUGUUAGCACUCAAACAUACUUCUCUCCAAUCAACAUUAAAACUUCUGUUCAUCAUUUUUGCAGAAAGCAGUAGCACUCCAUUUUUAUCGUUAAUAUCACAUACUCCAUCAUUAAAGAUUAUUGAGUAACCAUAUUCAAUUAAUUGUCCCACACUAACUAGAUUCUGAUUGAUCUUAGGUACAUAAAGAAUAUUUUUAAGAGUUUUUGUACCUGACAAUGUUUCUACUUCAAUUGCUCUUUUUCCUUCAACCUUCACAUAGUCUCCAUUGCCAAUUCUGACUCUAGAUAGAUAGCUUUUAUCCAAGUCUCUGAAUAAGCUCAAAUCUGCUGUCAUAUGGUUAGUGCAGCCACUAUCAUUGAGCCAUGAUGAGUCGUUUGCCUUUGCUGUGUUACACAUCUCCUGUAUUGUAGCCAUGAAUAAAAGAUCUUUCUUAACUUUUGAACAAUCGGCUACUUGAGCUUGUUUUACUGUUCCUGCUUUAUUUUUGCAGAAUCUUUGAAUGUGACCAAAUUGCUUGCAGUUUCGGCAUUGUGCAUUCUUGAGCCAACACCAGGCUUCAAGAUGAUUUGUUUUCUGACAGAAUUUGCAAGCAGGAAAAUGUUCUUUCUUCUCUUUCCCUCUAGUGAAGUUGUUGUUGUUCUGUUGCCAGUUAUUGGAUUGCCAGCCUUUCCCUUUUUUCUCUUUUUCCUUCUUGAUUGUUUUUGUAAAAAUUCUUAGCCCGACUCUUCUCCUUGUAAACUGCAACAAGAGCUCCUUCACUUGAUCCUUCUUGUCUAUAAGCUUGCCUUUGCUCCACAGCUUGCAAUGCAUUUACCAGUUCUUGCAGGCUCAUUUCAGAGAAAUCUUUAGAAUCUUCUAAAGAGCAAAUUUUAUGUUCAAAUUUUUCUGGUAGACUUACCAGAACUUUCUCUACUAUUCUUGAAUAUGAAAAAUCUUCUCCCAAAAGUCUCACUUGAUUCACAAGUUUUGAAAUUUGAGAAGAGAAGUCUUUGAUGGUUUCAUUUUCUUUCAUCUUUAAACCUUCAAACUAUCUUCUAAGAUUUAAAAUCUGCAUCUUCCAUGACUUCUCAUCACCAUGAAAUUCUGCUUUUAAUUUAUCCCAUGUUUCUUUGGCAGAUUUACACGCCAUGAUCCUUGUGAAAAUGUCUUCACUAACAGCAUUAUGAAGACAGGUAAGAGCUUUGAAUUGCUUUGCCUUUUCUUCAUUAAAAAAUUUCAUCUGUGCAAUCGUAGGAUUGUUUCCUAGUGGAAUUGGUUGCUUAUCGCUCUCCGCUAUCUCCCACAAGUCAAAAACUUUGAGAUAAGUUUCCAUUUUCACAGCCCACACACCAAAAUUCUACCCUGUGAACACUGGUGUUUUUGCUUGAAAAUUUACAGAAUCCAUUUCUUAAAAAAAAAUCACUUAAUCUCCCGUGUUUCACUCACAAUCCCUUCAAAGAAAAAUGCUUUGAUUUAACCUCACUAAUCUCUCGUGUUUCACUCACAAUCCCUUCAAAGAUCAAAGAAUGCUCUGAUACCAAUUGUUGAUAAUAGGUAUAUAAAGAACUGAAUGUUGAUGAUAACCAGAAAAACAAAAAACAAAGAACUUGCAACAAAGAACAAAGAGCAUAAUGUUUUUCAUAUUGGUUACUGCCAUCCCUUAGCUUUUAUUUAUAGAUGAAAUCAAUCACAACACAAUUAAGAAACAUAACUAAUAUAAACUUCUUCAUUUAUGGAGUUAUGUAACUUAUCCCUAAUAAGUUUCAUAUCUAAAGAAAGUAAAACUCACUGCAACACAUUAAAGAUAUGAUGUUACUAAUAGAUAAANNNNNNNNNNNNNNNNNNNNNNNNNNNNNNNNNNNNNNNNNNNNNNNNNNNNNNNNNNNNNNNNNNNNNNNNNNNNNNNNNNNNNNNNNNNNNNNNNNNNGGUGCCAUAACUUCAACACAACAACCAUCCCUUUUCCAGGAAUUCCCAAUGAUUGCGUUAUGCAGAGCAUGAACAAUUCCUCUUGCAUUCCAGUUCACAGGCUGCACGACUCUUGCUCUUGUCCAUUCAAGCUGCAGACGAAGUGUCCGGAAGACUGUAAUUCUCUAUCUUCACAAACCCUUCUCCAUGAUCGCACAACGAAGACGUCUGUAGCCGCUUCCUGACACAACCACCAGAUCCAUCUCUCGUAGACCAUUCCUUUGGGUACUUGGGCUCGAACCCAGGUAAACAGGCACAUCCAAAUCUAUUAUGAUUAGUAAGUUCACACGUACUAUCAGCACCACACAGUCCCUAAUAGUCGUCGCACUGAAACAGUGGGGUCUUCCAGUAAUCCUUCCACUGACCAUCACUUUCUCGCCAUGUUAACGCCUUUACAAGUCCUGGAUGAUCCACUAUUAUUCUUAGCAGAUAAGAAUCAUCAGGAACUGUGUAGACAAAGUACUUUUCGUCUGGAUCAUUUACAAAAGUGCUUUUGUAUAAGCCCAUCUGACUUCUCCAUGGCCAAGGGGGAGAUCUACUAAUUGGCUUUUUACCAUUAUAGAAAAAGAAUUGUGGCGAGCCUUUUGGGUUGAUCCUAACUGAAAAGUCCCUGAACCCAGGGUCUUCAGCUGAUCUCCAUGAUGUUAGGAACCGAUCAAUUCCUAAUUUUCGAUCCAGCCCCAGUUUCAUUCCAGGAAGCAGGAUGUUCGUAGGAUAAUCGAAGCUUUGCCAUACAGUUUUCCUGCUUCUUUUCCUGACCAAAAUCAAAUUUCCUGAAUCCAAGAGUUGGAGACACACAGGAAGCUUUGGGAGAACCACACAGGGAAAGGAGACCACACAGGAAGCUUUUGGUCAUCUUUCCCAUGGAGAACGGUUAAUAAAGAGAAAACCCAGAGAGAGAAAUCCAGAGGAACCAAUGAUUGGAUCGUUCCUGUUUGCAACCCACACCACAGUUUGUUCUGGUAUUUUAUGGUACCAAAUUCCAAGAUAUCUAUUGCUAAAACUGCCAGGACUGAAAAAUCCUAGUGCGAAAUAUUUUCUUGAGAUAAGAAGGUCACCUGUUUACUGUUUGGUUCGUCUUUAAGGAGUCUUGGGAUGUAGAAGAUGAGAAAUGGAGCAUUAUAAGAGAAAAAAGCAGGAGCAGUUUUUCAGCUUCCAUGAUGGGGCAAACUGGACCUUGGCUUUUGGACAAGUGAAUUGUUGCUUUGUGGAGAAAGGAGAUGGUCUUCAGACAAGUGUGGGACCAUUAGAGAAGCAGCGUGAAAAAAAUGGUUUUUUUUUUGUUUAUAGUGGUAAUGAUUUUAAAAAUAAAAAGUUAAAUGUAUUAAAAUAAUUUUUUUUUUUUAAUAUUAACUUAUUAAAGUAAUACAAAAAUAUAAAAAAAUUAAUUUUAAAUUAAUUUUUUUAAUUUUUGCAAAUCUUCAUUUAGACCACACUCCCAUGUUAUCAUAUAAUCGUGUCCUUUGUAUUCUAUAUUCGCUAGAAGGCAACUCAACUUUUUUUUCUUUUUAUGUUUGAUUUUAAUUUAUAAUAAACUAAUUUGAUAUAAUAUAUAUUAUGGUGAUAUCUAAGAUUUCGGAUGAUUAUUUAAGACAUGAGUUCUCUAAAUACCUCAAAUUUACUAGAUUAAUGAUAUUAUUGAAGAUGAUGGUUUUUCAAUUAAGAAAGAAUAUUAAUUUGGUGAAAUUGGCCAUAUUGUGAUGCAAAGAUAUUGUGAAUAUCACAAUACAUGACUUUAUUCUUAGUUUAUUGUGCAUGUUAUGAGAUAAAUUGAAAUUGAUUUGUCCUCCAAAAUCAUAAAUCAUAUAAUUGAGAUAGUAAAAUUCAAAAAAAAAAAAAAUACUUUGUUGUUACUAAUCUUAAAAAGGGAAAGAAUUGAUACAAUGGCGGACAUCAUAAGUUUUAAAUCCAUAAAACAACUAUUUUUUUUUUGUAUUUAAUUUUUUCAAUUUUAUUCAUCUAGUCGAAUUGAUAGUAAUUUUCAAUUUUUUUUAUUUAAUUUUUUCAAUCAUUAUUCAUCUAGUUGAAUUGAUUUUUUUUAAUUAAAGUAACUAUCCAUAAAAGAAUAGUUGACGAACACCACACCUAUAGCAUAACAUAUGAUGAUGCUGUUAGGUUUCUUCCUUGACACUAGGCAGAAUGGAUCAGUUGUUUAGAAUCAGGCUGGGAGUUUUAGCAGUGCUGAAGAGCUUGAUCUGUUGUGAUGUGCAGCAUAUUUGUUUUCAUUACAAAUCUAAUGGAACUUCAUAUUAGCAAUUUUUCAGACAGCACAGCUUCAGCGACAAGCAAUUUCAGAAAUUGUAACCUCAUUUAGAGAACACUGUCCAUCUUCAACGCCUAAUGCUAUAUCAGGAUUAUUGUCAGAUUUUCUGAAGAGGAAUGCAGGUUGUUUUGGAGAAGGAAUCUCUGUUUCACUACUCAACAUAAAAACAACCGCCAACAUAGAUGGUCUGUCCGUGGCAUCUUCUUGCACGCACAGCAGACCAAUCUGCACGCAUUUCAAAGCUUCACGCGGAUCAUACAACUCCGUCAGUGAUG